GAUGAACGCCGGCGGCGUGCUUAACACAUGCAAGUCGAACGGUGAAGGCGGAGCUUGCUCUGCUGGAUCAGUGGCGAACGGGUGAGUAACACGUGAGCAAUCUGCCCCUGACUCUGGGAUAAGCGCUGGAAACGGCGUCUAAUACUGGAUACGAGCUGCGAAGGCAUCUUCAGCAGCUGGAAAGAAUUUCGGUCAGGGAUGAGCUCGCGGCCUAUCAGCUUGUUGGUGAGGUAAUGGCUCACCAAGGCGUCGACGGGUAGCCGGCCUGAGAGGGUGACCGGCCACACUGGGACUGAGACACGGCCCAGACUCCUACGGGAGGCAGCAGUGGGGAAUAUUGCACAAUGGGCGAAAGCCUGAUGCAGCAACGCCGCGUGAGGGACGACGGCCUUCGGGUUGUAAACCUCUUUUAGCAGGGAAGAAGCGAAAGUGACGGUACCUGCAGAAAAAGCGCCGGCUAACUACGUG
This 468-nucleotide ribosomal RNA is filed under the name uncultured bacterium. Its description in RNAcentral is "partial 16S ribosomal RNA". It matches the Rfam family "Bacterial small subunit ribosomal RNA", at positions 28 to 507 of the family's 1533-position model. The record is from RNAcentral.